CGCUGGCGGCAUGCUUAACACAUGCAAGUCGAACGGAAACGAUGGAAGCUUGCUUCCAGGCGUCGAGUGGCGGACGGGUGAGUAAUGCUUGGGAAUCUGCCUAAUAGUGGGGAACAACUCGGGGAAACUCGGGCUAAUACCGCAUAAUCUCUUCGGAGGAAAGGGGGCCUCUACAUGUAAGCUCUCGCUAAUAGAUGAGCCCAAGUCAGAUUAGCUUGUUGGUAAGGUAAUGGCUUACCAAGGCUACGAUCUGUAGCUGGUCUGAGAGGAUGAUCAGCCACACUGGGACUGAGACAGCCCAGACUCCUACGGGAGGCAGCAGUGGGGAAUAUUGCACAAUGGGCGAAAGCCUGAUGCAGCAAUGCCGCGUGUGUGAAGAAGGCUCUAGGGUUGUAAAGCACUUUCAAUAAGGAAGAAAAGCAUAUGGUUAAUAACCUUAUGUAUUGACGUAACUUAUACAAGAAGCACCGGCUAAUUCCGUGCCAGCAGCCGCGGUAAUACGGAAGGUGCAAGCGUUAAUCGGAAUUACUGGGCGUAAAGCGCGCGUAGGCUGUUAUUUAAGUCGGAUGUGAAAUCCUCGGGCUCAACCUGGGAACUGCAUCCGAAACUGAAUAACUAGAGUAUGGGAGAGGUAAGUAGAAUUUCCGGUGUAGCGGUGAAAUGCGUAGAUAUCGGAAGGAAUACCAGUGGCGAAGGCGGCUUACUGGACCAAUACUGACGCUGAGGUGCGAAAGCGUGGGGAGCGAACAGGAUUAGAUACCCUGGUAGUCCACGCCGUAAACGAUGAGAACUAGAUGUUGGGAGGGUUAGCCUCUCAGUGUCGCAGCUAACGCAUUAAGUUCUCCGCCUGGGGAGUACGAC
RNAcentral lists this ribosomal RNA (861 nucleotides) under uncultured Gammaproteobacteria bacterium. RNAcentral's name for it is "bacterial SSU rRNA". It matches the Rfam family "Bacterial small subunit ribosomal RNA", at positions 34 to 886 of the family's 1533-position model. The record is from RNAcentral. Lineage: Bacteria; Pseudomonadati; Pseudomonadota; Gammaproteobacteria.